RNAcentral lists this small nuclear RNA (261 nucleotides) under Castor canadensis (American beaver). RNAcentral's name for it is "7SK RNA (ENSCCNG00000018981.1)". It matches the Rfam family "7SK RNA". Rfam says of the family: 7SK was discovered as an abundant small nuclear RNA in the mid-70s but a possible function has only recently been suggested. Two independent studies have found that 7SK RNA binds the CDK9/cyclin T complex (known as elongation factor P-TEFb). P-TEFb activates transcription by phosphorylating the C-terminal domain of RNA polymerase II. The record is from RNAcentral. Lineage: Eukaryota; Metazoa; Chordata; Mammalia; Rodentia; Castoridae.
GGAAAUGAGGGCAGUCUGGCAAUGUGUGUCACCCCAUUGAUUGCCAGGGUUGAUUUGGCUGAUCUGACUGGUUAGGUGGGUGUCCUCUUCCUUCCACACCGCUUCAUGUGCUGCGCUUGCUCAAAGAGGACGACCUUCCUGAUAGAGGACUGUUCUUAAGUCAAGUGUAUACGUGUAGCUGGGCUCCCCUGUUAGAACCUCCAAACAAGCUUUCAAAACACAUAGACAAUAAAUAUACACUUUUUAUUUUUUUAAUUUUUU